Molecule: long non-coding RNA, 293 nt
Organism: Uranotaenia lowii
Lineage: Eukaryota; Metazoa; Arthropoda; Insecta; Diptera; Culicidae
Exons: 2
Source: RefSeq, a predicted model, not a curated record
UUUUGCCUUUUGAAGUUACGUUAUUGGUGAGUCAGAUAAGUUGAAAAUGUCGGAUCGUUAUCAAAAUCAAGCGGAUUUAAAAGCUUACUACAUAAACGAGGCCAUUAAGAGAGCUGGCAACCCGAGAAAUGAGGCCGCCAGACAAGCGGCCGUCCAACAGGGUGUUCAAAAUUACUAUGCGUCCAGAAGAUAGGAAACUGCUAGCAGUACGUCCUCUCUGAAGGAUCACAAUCGAAUCAAUGGAAGUGUGUUUCAGUUGAUCUUUGAAAUAAAAAUAAAAUUUUCUUCAGAAA